GAUGAACGCUGGCGGCGUGCCUAAUACAUGCAAGUCGAGCGAACAGACGAGGAGCUUGCUCCUUCGACGUUAGCGGCGGACGGGUGAGUAACACGUAGGUAACCUACCUAUAAGACUGGGAUAACUUCGGGAAACCGGAGCUAAUACCGGAUAAUAUUUCGAACCGCAUGGUUCGAUAGUGAAAGAUGGCUUUGCUAUCACUUAUAGAUGGACCUGCGCCGUAUUAGCUAGUUGGUAAGGUAACGGCUUACCAAGGCAACGAUACGUAGCCGACCUGAGAGGGUGAUCGGCCACACUGGAACUGAGACACGGUCCAGACUCCUACGGGAGGCAGCAGUAGGGAAUCUUCCGCAAUGGGCGAAAGCCUGACGGAGCAACGCCGCGUGAGUGAAGAAGGUCUUCGGAUCGUAAAACUCUGUUAUUAGGGAAGAACAAAAGUGUAAAUAACUGUGAACGUCUUGACGGUACCUAAUCAGAAAGCCACGGCUAACUACGUG
This 497-nucleotide ribosomal RNA is filed under the name uncultured bacterium. RNAcentral describes it as "partial 16S ribosomal RNA". It matches the Rfam family "Bacterial small subunit ribosomal RNA", at positions 28 to 507 of the family's 1533-position model. The record is from RNAcentral.